RNAcentral lists this ribosomal RNA (587 nucleotides) under uncultured bacterium. RNAcentral's name for it is "partial 16S ribosomal RNA". It matches the Rfam family "Bacterial small subunit ribosomal RNA", at positions 355 to 1375 of the family's 1533-position model. The record is from RNAcentral.
UGGGGAAUUUUGGACAAUGGGCGAAAGCCUGAUCCAGCAAUGCCGCGUGUGUGAAGAAGGCCUUCGGGUUGUAAAGCACUUUUGUCCGGAAAGAAAUCCUUGGCUCUAAUACAGUCGGGGGAUGACGGUACCGGAAGAAUAAGCACCGGCUAACUACGUGCCAGCAGCCGCGGUAAUACGUAGGGUACAAGCGUUAAUCGGAAUUACUGGGCGUAAAGCGUGCGCAGGCGGUUUGCUAAGACCGAUGUGAAAUCCCCGGGCUCAACCUGGGAACUGCAUUGGUGACUGGCAGGCUAGAGUAUGGCAGAGGGGGGUAGAAUUCCACGUGUAGCAGUGAAAUGCGUAGAGAUGUGGAGGAAUACCGAUGGCGAAGGCAGCCCCCUGGGCCAAAUACUGACGCUCAUGCACGAAAGCGUGGGGAGCAAACAGGAUUAGAUACCCUGGUAGUCCACGCCCUAAAACGAUGUCAACUAGUUGUUGGGGAUUCAUUUCCUUAGUAACGUAGCUAACGCGUGAAGUUGACCGCCUGGGGAGUACGGUCGCAAGAUUAAAACUCAAAUGAAUUGACGGGGUCAUAGCUGUUUCCU